Molecule: ribosomal RNA, 501 nt
Filed under: uncultured bacterium
Lineage: Bacteria
Description: partial 16S ribosomal RNA
Rfam family: Bacterial small subunit ribosomal RNA
Source: RNAcentral
AUUGAACGCUGGCGGCAUGCCUUACACAUGCAAGUCGAACGGCAGCACGGGUGCUUGCACCUGGUGGCGAGUGGCGAACGGGUGAGUAAUACAUCGGAACGUACCUUAUCGUGGGGGAUAACGCAGCGAAAGCUGUGCUAAUACCGCAUACGCCCUGAGGGGGAAAGCGGGGGAUCGAAAGACCUCGCGCGAUUAGAGCGGCCGAUGCCUGAUUAGCUUGUUGGUGGGGUAAAAGCCCACCAAGGCGACGAUCAGUAGCUGGGCUGAGAGGACGAUCAGCCACACUGGGACUGAGACACGGCCCAGACUCCUACGGGAGGCAGCAGUGGGGAAUUUUGGACGAUGGGGGCAACCCUGAUCCAGCAAUGCCGCGUGAGUGAAGAAGGCCUUCGGGUUGUAAAGCUCUUUUGUCAGGGAAGAAACACCGGCUCUAACACAGUCCGGGAAUGACGGUACCUGAAGAAUAAGCACCGGCUAACUACGUGCCAGCCGCCGCGGUAA